This 342-nucleotide ribosomal RNA is filed under the name uncultured bacterium. Its description in RNAcentral is "bacterial SSU rRNA". It matches the Rfam family "Bacterial small subunit ribosomal RNA", at positions 28 to 372 of the family's 1533-position model. The record is from RNAcentral.
GAUAAACGCUGGCGGCGUGCAUGAGACAUGCAAGUCGAACGGGCCUUUCAGGCUUGCUUGAAAGGCUAGUGGCGGACGGCUGAGUAACGCGUGGGUGACCUGCCCCGAAGUGGGGAAUAACUGCCCGAAAGGGUGGCUAAUACCGCAUGUGAUCACAUAUUCAUUUGUGUGAUCAAAGCAGUAAUGCGCUUUGGGAGGGGCCUGCGUCCGAUUAGCCGUUGGUGGGGUAAUGGCUCACCAAGGCGACGAUCGGUAGGUGGUCUGAGAGGACGAUCACCCAGACUGGGACUGAGACACGGCCCAGACUCCUACGGGAGGCAGCAGUGAGGAAUCAUUCGCAAU